UACGUGAGCCUCAAGCGUUACCCGGAAUUACUGGGCGUAAAGGGUGUGUAGGCGGUUAUGUUAGUCUCUUGUUAAAUCUUUCGGCCCAACCGAAAGGCUGCAGGAGAAACGGCAUAACUAGAGGAUGCGAGGGGUCUAUGGAACUCACGGUGUAGGGGUGAAAUCCGUUGAUAUCGUGGGGAACACCAAAAGCGAAGGCAAUAGACUGGCGCACUCCUGACGCUGUGGCACGAAAGCCAGGGUAGCGAACGGG
RNAcentral lists this unclassified non-coding RNA (253 nucleotides) under uncultured Parcubacteria group bacterium. Its description in RNAcentral is "contains 16S-23S intergenic spacer region". It matches the Rfam family "Bacterial small subunit ribosomal RNA", at positions 524 to 776 of the family's 1533-position model. The record is from RNAcentral.